Long non-coding RNA from Cavia porcellus (domestic guinea pig), 699 nucleotides. RefSeq lists it as uncharacterized. NCBI's taxonomy places the organism in Eukaryota, Metazoa, Chordata, Mammalia, Rodentia, Caviidae. The record is from RefSeq and is a predicted model, not a curated record. The transcript has 3 exons.
ACUGUCCAGACCUGUUUCCCAAAGCAGCCAGGGCGGGAACGUGUGGGAAAGAACCUUGGGGUCCCGGGUUUGGACGGGCGGAACGUCUCCGCUCCCCUGGGCUCUGCUCGCUCUCUGCCGUGUCACUCUUGCUCUGGCUUAUCACUGGGGAAACCGGAGAGGCCAGGACGCCAGGCCCGGAAUAGGAAGGGAGCAGGGAGCAGGGCCAAGGACGCGCGGAAGGUAGCGCAGCGGAGAGCGGCAGGCCCGGGCAGAGGUGCGGCAGCGCCACGUCCAGGAGCGAGGACCCCAAGCUGAAGAGGCCUCGGCUGUCUAUGGGAACACUGUCCUCCUAGCCUGCCUUCUUCCCAGGCUACCCUCAGCAGUCCUGGUUCCUCUGUCUGGAGCUGCCGCCGGAUAAACUUACCUUCAAGCAGGCUUGGCCUACUGCCCUCCACAGAGUCCCUCUCAGAGCGAUAAUCUAGCAGCCUUCUCCUGGGAAAUCAGGAACCAAAAACCUUGGUGUUUCUUCCAUCUGAUUUUCUGGGCAUGCAGGAAAGAGGGUUGGUCACCCAACUUUUUACAAAAACUCUAGUCUGCUCAGCCUCCCAGUGAGUCGCCACGUGACGGGAGGGGAUGGAUCAAAACUGAGUUUUCUUAGCCACUGAAGUCUGACCCCCGCUAAACUUCCUGGCCUUUGAAUAAACACAACAGAGACCA